UUUUAUUGGCGGUAAUUUCACGUUUAUUUUCCGUGUCAAACGUGAUUCAUUCUUGGCUGUUGUACACACUAAAGGAGGUUUUCGAAUAAAUGGAAGACACGCGGGAUAAAGGAGAACUUAUGAAGGUGUUAAAGUCAUAAUACUUUCUACAUUAUGCUGUGCUGACCACGUGAUGGAGGUUACCAGGAAGUCAUAUACAUUUACAUAUGUCUGAGAUGUGUUAUCACCAAUAGCUAGAGCUCAGAUCAAGAAGCAAAGAUGAGUCGUAAAGGUGGACAAUCGUCGAGUCGUGACAUUGGUUUGAUGUUUUUCACCAACCUUCAGCUGCUUGGCUUUGACUCAGCAGCAAUGUCAGCCAUGUACUCCAUUCCAUUUAACAGGGAUAUGUUCAAAUUGCCGAACAAAAAGGGGUAUGAAGUGGUGGUGCAUUUUCUGUUCAGUAGGCUGAAUCUGACCAUGUGUAGAGAACAGUUCAG
Long non-coding RNA from Liolophura sinensis, 476 nucleotides. RefSeq lists it as uncharacterized. The transcript is spliced from 3 exons. The record is from RefSeq and is a predicted model, not a curated record. Lineage: Eukaryota; Metazoa; Mollusca; Polyplacophora; Chitonida; Chitonidae.